Molecule: long non-coding RNA, 994 nt
Organism: Oreochromis niloticus (Nile tilapia)
Lineage: Eukaryota; Metazoa; Chordata; Actinopteri; Cichliformes; Cichlidae
Exons: 3
Source: RefSeq, a predicted model, not a curated record
UGAGCUCUGAAACAUGACUGAAACUCUUCAGAUAAUCCAUUCUUCUGCAGAUGAUCUGGUUGACAAAUCCUUUUUAAGAAUUUUUGAUAUGAAAGGAAGGUUGGAGAUUGGCCUAUAAUUAGCUAACCAAGUUACUACUAUAUGGACAAAACCUUGUGGACUCCUACACAUUGAAACGUGUCAUAAUGACUUAUGAAUGGAGACGAAGAAACCAUGAAAACAAACCGUACUCAACAUCAUCGAUCUUGUUAUUUAAAUACCAGAAUGAUCUGUUUUGCUAACGGUUAGUAAAGAGAAAAUAUUAGAUUAAGAUGUGCACAAACGAGUACCCUCUGAGUUGUGCACCUUCCUUUCAUUAUUUACAACUCUGCUUCUCCUGUUUGUUCACUGUGUUUCCAUUUGAACUAACCAGUGCACUGUUUGCUUUCAGCAGCAAGGAAUGUAGAUGACAAAUCGUGUUAGGCUGUCACAUUGCCAAGCCUCAGGUGGCAGCAGAAAAUGGAGACACGUCCUGAUUUAAAGUAUCUUUUCUCUAGGUAGCGCUGUGUUUUGAAGAGUUCAGGUCUGAUGGACAGGUCGUUAUUGUCCCACUGUUGUGUCAUCUGUGAUGUGAUGCAGUCAUGUGUCAGCAGCGUGAACAGCAGUGGGCCCAGGACACAACCCUGAGGGGAGCUAAUGAACAGGGAGAUGGAGCUGGAGAUGUUGUUUCCCACGUUCGCUGAACUAUGUUGGUGGAAAAGUCCAAGCUGGUUUCCAUACAUUCACUCUCCUCAGGGUUUUCCAGACAUCGGCCACAUUAAGAUUCAGUGCUUUAUUUGAUCACUUUGCUUCUCAUUUGCUCCUGAAUUUUCCUUGGAUUGCGGCAUGAUGUCUGGCUUUUGAGGAUCUUUUGGUGUAUUCCACUUUGUCAGGCGGGUCCUGUUUAAGCGAUUUCUUGACUGAGACCAGCUGUGUCAGUUAUCAGGCCUUUCUCCUUUUAGUAAUAAACACCUUC